This 250-nucleotide ribosomal RNA is filed under the name uncultured bacterium. Its description in RNAcentral is "partial 16S ribosomal RNA". It matches the Rfam family "Bacterial small subunit ribosomal RNA", at positions 86 to 339 of the family's 1533-position model. The record is from RNAcentral.
GCAAGUAGAGUGGCGAACGGGUGAGUAAUACAUCGGAACAUAUCCAGUAGCGGGGGAUAACCUGUCGAAAGAUAGGCUAAUACCGCAUACGAUCUACGGAUGAAAGCGGGGGACCGCAAGGCCUCGCACUAUUGGAGUGGCCGAUGUCGGAUUAGCUAGUUGGUGGGGUAAAGGCUUACCAAGGCGACGAUCCGUAGCUGGUCUGAGAGGACGAUCAGCCACACUGGAACUGAGACACGGUCCAGACUCC